GGUGGCUAGGGCUGGCGCCAGGCGCUGCGGCAGCUCGGGGCUUGUAAACAGAUACCCCCUCACGUGACCGAGUGAACUACAUGCUCCUGGGGGCGUGUUCUCUUUCCCGCAAGCUGCGCCACAAAGGAGCGGGGCGGUCGGAGGGCAGAGAGGCGGGCGAGCAAGCAGGGAGAGCACCCCCAGCGUUUUAGGAUGGCUGAAGGUGCCUGGCAAGGGUGAGCGGUGGGGGCGGGGGUGCUGUUGGGCACGGCACGGCCAGUGGCUGAGUCCGUUGGCGGGCAGGGCUGGUGACCCUUUCCCCGGGGCCUGGCCCUGGAGCCACCAUGUUUUUGGCGCUCAAGGAGAGACUCCAGUUGGACUGGGUUGCCUGGCGGCUGCAUGUGUUCUACAAGCGGAAGAAGCACAAGUUCAUCUUCAUCAUCUCCUGGAAUGAGAUUGAGGGCAAGUUUGUCAUAACCUGCUACAACCGGAUGGCCCAGAGGCAGAGGAGCGGCACCAGCGGUCAGGUCUGCUUGGGCCACGACCUGGACACCUGAGGCUGGAAGAUCCUCUCCCAAGAAUUCUUCAUGGAAACCCACGACCGGGAGUAUUAUGAACCCUUAGCGAGCUGCAGCAGAAGGACCAGGAAGCGCAUCCAGGAGAUGCUCAGCGGUACUAAGAGGUGAGGCCUUCGGAAGGUGAUUAGGAUUAGACGAGGUCGUGAAGGUGGAGCCCUCCCGAAUGGGAUUAUUGUCCUUAUAAGUGUCAUCAGUCUGGACCGCUUUCCUUCCUCCCU
Camelus dromedarius (Arabian camel) is the source of this 775-nucleotide long non-coding RNA. RefSeq lists it as uncharacterized. The record is from RefSeq and is a predicted model, not a curated record. Lineage: Eukaryota; Metazoa; Chordata; Mammalia; Artiodactyla; Camelidae. The transcript has 3 exons.